GUCGCAUUGACGUAAGAAGAGUUGUAUUUUUAUAGAAAGAAAAUAUUUUGCCUAAUCGCCUUCAAAGGAGCCUUGUACACAAUCUCUAGAGGAGAGUGUGCACAGAGGAGAGAUCAUGUGAGGACACAGCGAGAAGACAAUCAUCUGUAAGCCAAGGAGAGAGGCCUCAGAAAAAAAUCCACCCUGCUAAGAGCUUGAUCUUGGACUUA
RNAcentral lists this long non-coding RNA (209 nucleotides) under Homo sapiens (human). RNAcentral describes it as "non-protein coding lnc-KCNC2-2:1". The record is from RNAcentral. Lineage: Eukaryota; Metazoa; Chordata; Mammalia; Primates; Hominidae.